GUCAGUGUGGUGCAGUGGAUUGAGUGUUGGAUUAUGACUCUGGAGACCAGGGUUUGAUUCCCAGCUUGGUCA
Molecule: non-coding RNA, 72 nt
Organism: Phrynosoma platyrhinos (Desert horned lizard)
Lineage: Eukaryota; Metazoa; Chordata; Lepidosauria; Squamata; Phrynosomatidae
Source: the annotation of a GenBank genome assembly